UCGUACGCGAAAGGGGAGCAAUCCCUGAGUAGAGUGGCAAACGGGUGAGUAACACGUGGGUGACCUGCCUCAGAGUGGGGGAUAACGUCCCGAAAGGGACGCUAAUACCGCAUAACAUCCUGCCUUUGGAAAGGCGGAGAUCAAAGCCGGGGAUCGCAAGACCUGGCGCUUGGAGAGGGGCCCGCGUCUGAUUAGCUAGUUGGUAGGGUAAUGGCCUACCAAGGCGACGAUCAGUAUCCGGCCUGAGAGGGCGGACGGACACACUGGGACUGAGACACGGCCCAGACUCCUACGGGAGGCAGCAGUGGGGAAUUGUUCGCAAUGGGCGCAAGCCUGACGACGCAACGCCGCGUGGAGGAUGAAGAUCUUCGGGUCGUAAACUCCUGUCGAGCGGGAAGAACACUUUCCGGGUGAACAAUCCGGAAGGCUGACGGUACCGCUAAAGGAAGCCCCGGCUAACUCCGUGCCAGCAGCCGCGGUAAUACGGGGGGGGCAAGCGUUG
This 502-nucleotide ribosomal RNA is filed under the name uncultured bacterium. RNAcentral's name for it is "bacterial SSU rRNA". It matches the Rfam family "Bacterial small subunit ribosomal RNA", at positions 62 to 543 of the family's 1533-position model. The record is from RNAcentral.